Molecule: long non-coding RNA, 500 nt
Organism: Anopheles arabiensis
Lineage: Eukaryota; Metazoa; Arthropoda; Insecta; Diptera; Culicidae
Exons: 3
Source: RefSeq, a predicted model, not a curated record
AUCAAUUCAUUUGAAGUAAAAAAAUUCCAUUAUACUUUAUUUUGACCAUAUGAUCAACACUUGUACAUAGUGCCAUUUACUUUGUGUUCUUCACUCUCGCGUUGUGUUUUGAUCGUUCGAAACUCAUUGCCAGAACGAAUGCAAAUUUCAUUUGGGAAGGAUCGGUGCCGGAAGAUGCAGUGAAAAUUAUAAAUAGUUUAUAGAAAAGUGGUUAAGUAAAUCGUGAAAGAUGUCAACGCAGGCGUAAAUGCAGUUUGUUUUGUCACUUGAUCUACGGCAAUUUCAUUACCAAAGCACCUGAUAACCGAUCAAAGAAGGUGAAUCGGGCAUACAGAGUCGCCGUUUAACUUCAAAUAUCUUCGUGAUCGGAAAACGCAUCAAACAGCAAGUGUUUUUCUUCCAACAGCACGCGCCAUCGGUGGAGCAAGCAGCCAACGAUUUGAUCGCCAGUACGCGCCAUCAAGAAUUGAUAUUUUGCCAAACAGUACUGUGAAUAAAAA